UACGAAGGGGGCUAGCGUUGCUCGGAAUCACUGGGCUUAAAGGGUGCGUAGGCGGGGCUUUAAGUCAGGGGUGAAAUCCUGGAGCUCAACUCCAGAACUGCCUUUGAUACUGAGGAUCUUGAGUUCGGGAGAGGUGAGUGGAACUGCGAGUGUAGAGGUGAAAUUCGUAGAUAUUCGCAAGAACACCAGUGGCGAAGGCGGCUCACUGGCCCGAUACUGACGCUGAGGCACGAAAGCGUGGGGAGCAAACAGG
This 253-nucleotide ribosomal RNA is filed under the name uncultured bacterium. RNAcentral's name for it is "partial 16S ribosomal RNA". It matches the Rfam family "Bacterial small subunit ribosomal RNA", at positions 524 to 776 of the family's 1533-position model. The record is from RNAcentral.